GACGAACGCUGGCGGCGUGCUUAACACAUGCAAGUCGAACGGUAAGGCCCCUUCGGGGGUACACGAGUGGCGAACGGGUGAGUAACACGUGAGCAACCUGCCCUUGACUUCGGGAUAACAGCUGGAAACAGCUGCUAAUACCGAAUACGACCUCGACCGUCCCCGGUCGGGGUGGAAAGCUCCGGCGGUCAAGGAUGGGCUCGCGGCCUAUCAGCUUGUUGGUGAGGUAACGGCUCACCAAGGCUUCGACGGGUAGCCGGCCUGAGAGGGCGACCGGCCACACUGGGACUGAGAUACGGCCCAGACUCCUACGGGAGGCAGCAGUGGGGAAUAUUGCACAAUGGGCGCAAGCCUGAUGCAGCAACGCCGCGUGCGGGAUGACGGCCUUCGGGUUGUAAACCGCUUUCAGUAGGGACGAAGCGAAAGUGACGGUGCCUACAGAAGAAGGACCGGCUAACUACGUGCCAGCAGCCGCGGUGAUACGUAGGGUCCGAGCGUUGUCCGGAAUUAUUGGGCGUAAAGGGCUUGUAGGCGGUCCGUCGCGUCAGAAGUGAAAACUCAGGGCUUAACCCUGAGCCUGCUUUUGAUACGGGCGGACUAGAGGGAUGCAGGGGAGAACGGAAUUCCUGGUGGAGCGGUGGAAUGCGCAGAUAUCAGGAGGAACACCGGUGGCGAAGGCGGUUCUCUGGGCAUUACCUGACGCUGAGAAGCGAAAGCGUGGGGAGCAAACAGGCUUAGAUACCCUGGUAGUCCACGCCGUAAACGGUGGGCACUAGGUGUGGGGGACAUUCCACGUUCUCCGUGCCGAAGCUAACGCAUUAAGUGCCCCGCCUGGGGAGUACGGGCCGCAAGGCUAAAACUCAAAGGAAUUGACGGGGGCCCGCACAAGCGGCGGAGCAUGCGGAUUAAUUCGAUGCAACGCGAAGAACCUUACCUGGGUUUGACAUAUGCCGGAAAGCUGCAGAGAUGUAGCCCCCGCAAGGUCGGUAUACAGGUGGUGCAUGGCUGUCGUCAGCUCGUGUCGUGAGAUGUUGGGUUAAGUCCCGCAACGAGCGCAACCCUCGUUCUAUGUUGCCAGCGGAUAAUGCCGGGGACUCAUAGGAGACUGCCGGGGUCAACUCGGAGGAAGGUGGGGAUGACGUCAAGUCAUCAUGCCCCUUAAGUCCAGGGCUUCACGCAUGCUACAAUGGCCGGUACAAAGGGCUGCAAUACCGCAAGGUGGAGCGAAUCCCAAAAAGCCGGUCUCAGUUCGGAUUGGGGUCUGCAACUCGACCCCAUGAAGUCGGAGUCGCUAGUAAUCGCAGAUCAGCAACGCUGCGGUGAAUACGUUCCCGGGCCUUGUACACACCGCCCGUCAAGUCAUGAAAGUCGGUAACACCCGAAGCCGGUGGCCCAACCUCAUCUGAGGAGGGAGCCGUCUAGGGUGGGCAUGGCGAUUAGGACU
Molecule: ribosomal RNA, 1444 nt
Filed under: uncultured Actinomycetes bacterium
Lineage: Bacteria; Bacillati; Actinomycetota; Actinomycetes
Description: bacterial SSU rRNA
Rfam family: Bacterial small subunit ribosomal RNA
Source: RNAcentral